Molecule: non-coding RNA, 207 nt
Organism: Pelobates cultripes (western spadefoot toad)
Lineage: Eukaryota; Metazoa; Chordata; Amphibia; Anura; Pelobatidae
Source: the annotation of a GenBank genome assembly
GCCACAUCACAGGUGCCUACUUCCUUCUCUAAAUCCUCUGAAAAGGAUGUCAUAUGAGAGCUAGAGGAUAUUUGCAUGUCUGGCCUUGUUUUCCUGAUUUCAGCUAAGCCGUUACUGUACAAUGAGUGGGCAUAUUGGCAUUCAUUACUCAUAUUUAGCAAACUCUUCUGCACAUGUGCAUUUAAAUGAACGCAUGUGAAGUUUCCA